AUAAGGAUUUCAAGCUGAAAGUUGCUUGUUAUUCAAUUGAGUCAGGACAAACUCGUCAUACUAUUAGUCGGGAUACUGUAGCAAAGAUUGCAAAUGAGAAACAUGAGGAUGUUGUUAUGCAUUAUUAGAAGUCUAGAGUUAGUAAUGUGUGUAGUGACAUAAAAUCCUCUUUUGUAUAAAAGGGUAGUCUUUUUGUAAAUCCCAACUUUUGG
Molecule: long non-coding RNA, 212 nt
Filed under: Panax ginseng (ginseng)
Lineage: Eukaryota; Viridiplantae; Streptophyta; Magnoliopsida; Apiales; Araliaceae
Description: long non-coding RNA (PGIN_LNC012837)
Source: RNAcentral